GUCUCAGUAGCUCAGCUGGAUAGAGCAGCGCCCUUCUAAGGCGUCGGUCGGGGGUUCGAAUCCCUCCUGGGACG
This 74-nucleotide transfer RNA is filed under the name Viridibacillus arvi. RNAcentral describes it as "tRNA-Arg". It matches the Rfam family "tRNA". Rfam says of the family: Transfer RNA (tRNA) molecules are approximately 80 nucleotides in length. The record is from RNAcentral. RNAcentral also lists the same sequence under 12 other names. Lineage: Bacteria; Bacillati; Bacillota; Bacilli; Caryophanales; Caryophanaceae.